Molecule: long non-coding RNA, 122 nt
Organism: Ananas comosus (pineapple)
Lineage: Eukaryota; Viridiplantae; Streptophyta; Magnoliopsida; Poales; Bromeliaceae
Exons: 3
Source: RefSeq, a predicted model, not a curated record
GGUCAUCUUUGGUUGGCUUUGGGAAGCCUUUAGAGACUUAAUUUGAGCGGAGUUGAGGCCUAUUGGAGUUAAUUGUGGGACAUAGUAAUAGAGCCUUCCACAGCGGGAAAGGCUAGGGUUCC